AAAUCAAAGUAUAAGAGGUCCUGCCUGCCCAGUGACAUUAAGUUAAACGGCCGCGGUAUUUUGACCGUGCUAAGGUAGCGCAAUCACUUGUCUUUUAAAUGAAGACCUGUAUGAAUGGUGGAACGAGGGCUUAACUGUCUCCCUUUUCAGGUCAGUGAAAUUGAUCUGCCCGUGCAGAAGCGGACAUAAGAAUACAAGACGAGAAGACCCUUUGGAGCUUAAGACACAGGAUCAACUAUGUCAAAAAUUCCCCUAAAUGGAAACAAAACAAAAUAUUAACUGAUCUGAGUCUUCGGUUGGGGCGACCGCGGGGGAAAACAAAGCCCCCAUGUGGAAAGGGUAAUUAAACCUAAAACCGCGAGGAACACCUCUAAGUCACAGAACAUCUGACCAAAAGAUCCGGCAUUUAAGCCGAUCAGCGAACCAAGUUACCCUAGGGAUAACAGCGCAAUCCCCUCCAAGAGUCCAUAUCGACAAGGGGGUUUACGACCUCGAUGUUGGAUCAGGACAUCCUAAUGGUGCAGCCGCUAUUAAGGGUUCGUUUGUUCAACGAUUAAAGU
RNAcentral lists this ribosomal RNA (560 nucleotides) under Hemibrycon plutarcoi. RNAcentral describes it as "Bryconamericus plutarcoi partial 16S ribosomal RNA". It matches the Rfam family "Bacterial large subunit ribosomal RNA", at positions 1835 to 2594 of the family's 2925-position model. Lineage: Eukaryota; Metazoa; Chordata; Actinopteri; Characiformes; Stevardiidae. RNAcentral also lists the same sequence under 1 other name. The record is from RNAcentral.